AUGGAGAGCUACACACCAACUGCAUUUGUAGUGACAAUCUUGUACAUUUUUGCCACAUCCUCUGCACAAGGAAUUUGCCAUCAUGACAGAGGGAGCCACAAAGCAGGUUUCAGUGGACAGAUGGAAGGAAGCAAUCAUUUGCACCAUUGUGGGAACGUGUCUUACAAUAUCUCAGAAAGUUCCUGUUGUAAUGGUUAUAUAACUCCAGGAUUAAGCCAAUUGGUGGCUGACUGCUGUGGUUCUGUAGCUUACAAUCCCCUUAAUGAGAUUUGCUGUAAAGGGAAUAUUCUGACACAAAGCAGCACUCAUGUAAAAUGCUGUGGCAAAGACAUGUACGUGACAACGACUCAUUUGUGUUGUGGUGGCAACAACAUAUUUCAACGGAAGGAAGAUCAUUCUUGUUGUGGCAAGGAAACAUAUGACAUGACAACCCACUGCUGCUGUACUAACCUUACACUAGAAGUAAAGCCUAAAAAUGAAACUUGCUGUCCAAAAGCAACAGCUAAAAAGAAAGAAUUCCAGCUAGGCUCUCCUCCCACUCGCACACUCCCCAAAACCUCAGAACUGAAGUGUCGGACAAUGCCCUUCAAUCCCCAGGAAAACAUUUGUUGCUUAGGGAAUCUGUACAAGAAGGCAUCAGCACUUACUAAGUGCUGUGGCGUAGAUGCUUACACUCUGUCAGAUGACAAUGUGCUGUGCUGUAAUGGAAUCCUUCAUCUCAAUGUGCCUGAGCAGUCUGAGUGUGUUGGAGGUGUUAUAUAUACUCCAGCAAACACUACUUGCCAAAUGUUGAUCCGUCCUCGUCUUGGCGAGCACUGCUGUGGAGGACAAACCUUCAAUCCUCGCACGCAUAUUUGCUGUAACGGACACAGCCACAGCAAGAUGAAUGGCAAUUUUUGUUGUGGUUCAGAAGUCUAUGACCACCACAACCAGUUCUUGAGAUGCUGCUCAGGUCAUCUCUACAACCUAACCCAUUUAAGUGGAAAAGCAGAGUGCUGUGGAAACCUAUUGCUGCAAUAUAAUAACAAUCAAACUUGCUGUUCCUCCUCAACCAAUUCCAUAAUUUAUCAGACCAAACCAAACCACCAUUGCUGUGGGCAUUACUACUACAACACGUCCUUGUGGAGCUGCUGUGCUGAACGUCUCAAACCAACACCAAAGCCUAACUGCCUUCCUGCAGAAUACAGACUUAAACAACUAACAGACCUGAUCCCUGAAAUGUGCAAUAAAACAGUGUUCUUGGGCAAAGUGGAGAGUGUGGCACUUGAAAAUGAUCAGCGUCACAUUGUUUUGAAAGUUGUUUGGCAGGUCAAUGUAAAAUCAGAAAAGGACAUCAAAGACCCUUGGCUUCAUGUGUCCCUGGAUCACUGCAACUCUCCUGCCACAGACAACGGCAAAACCUACCUUUGGGAGGAAAAACACAAUGGGAAGUACAAGCUUCUCUCUCAUCCUGUUGACCUAACAUCUGACAUUUAUAUGUUAUAUUCUGUAUGUUACCAAAAGAAGGGAUAGACACAUGGAUUGAGGUCUAUUUCCCAUCAUUUCCAAAGCAUGCUGGUUGUAUUAACAUUUCUGUCCUGAGGAUAAUUUUUUAUCCUAAUAUUAUUUUAUCAUUAAUGCUAAAUGACUCUAGUAUGUGAAUGGCCACAAUAUUUAAAAGCUAAGAACUUUUGUCCCCUUAAGGCAACUUUCUGAAGUCUCUAAUGUGAGCAGCAUUAUGGCAGAGGCAUCACAUGUUGUGUAUCUGUGAAUUUUGCCUCGUUGGUUAAUAUAUUUCAACCUAAUAUUGGAUUGAACCCUGUAUGGAGUGUGCAAAAGGGAUAGUUCUCCCUAAAAAUGAGAAUUUGCUGCGAAUUUACUCACCUUUAGUCCAUCUAAGAUCUAGGUGACUUUUUGCUGAGUAGAAGAUUUUUAGCUGAUACCAUGGUUUUUGGUGAUUCAUAAAAUGCAAGUCAGUGGCUGCACGUUUUUGAGAAAAAAAAAAUAAAAAAAAAAUGUAUUUCUAAGAAAAAAAAUUA
This is a long non-coding RNA of Cyprinus carpio (common carp), 2018 nucleotides long. Lineage: Eukaryota; Metazoa; Chordata; Actinopteri; Cypriniformes; Cyprinidae. The record is from Ensembl.